CGCAGCUGAUGGAGCACACCGCGUGAGUGAGAAGGGUUUCGGCUCGUAAAGCUCUGUUGUUAAAGAAGAACACGUAUGAGAGUAACUGUUCAUACGUUGACGGUAUUUAACCAGAAAGUCACGGCUAACUACGUGCCAGCAGCCGCGGUAAUACGUAGGUGGCAAGCGUUAUCCGGAUUUAUUGGGCGUAAAGAGAGUGCAGGCGGUUUUCUAAGUCUGAUGUGAAAGCCUUCGGCUUAACCGGAGAAGUGCAUCGGAAACUGGAUAACUUGAGUGCAGAAGAGGGUAGUGGAACUCCAUGUGUAGCGGUGGAAUGCGUAGAUAUAUGGAAGAACACCAGUGGCGAAGGCGGCUACCUGGUCUGCAACUGACGCUGAGACUCGAAAGCAUGGGUAGCGAACAGGAUUAGAUACC
RNAcentral lists this ribosomal RNA (414 nucleotides) under Limosilactobacillus fermentum. RNAcentral describes it as "bacterial SSU rRNA". It matches the Rfam family "Bacterial small subunit ribosomal RNA", at positions 378 to 786 of the family's 1533-position model. Lineage: Bacteria; Bacillati; Bacillota; Bacilli; Lactobacillales; Lactobacillaceae. The record is from RNAcentral.